Molecule: ribosomal RNA, 707 nt
Filed under: Streptomyces sp. YIM 56065
Lineage: Bacteria; Bacillati; Actinomycetota; Actinomycetes; Kitasatosporales; Streptomycetaceae
Description: bacterial SSU rRNA
Rfam family: Bacterial small subunit ribosomal RNA
Source: RNAcentral
UGCAAGUCGAACGAUGAACCGCUUUCGGGCGGGGAUUAGUGGCGAACGGGUGAGUAACACGUGGGCAAUCUGCCCUGCACUCUGGGACAAGCCCUGGAAACGGGGUCUAAUACCGGAUAUGACUGUCCGCCGCAUGGUGGAUGGUGUAAAGCUCCGGCGGUGCAGGAUGAGCCCGCGGCCUAUCAGCUUGUUGGUGAGGUAGUGGCUCACCAAGGCGACGACGGGUAGCCGGCCUGAGAGGGCGACCGGCCACACUGGGACUGAGACACGGCCCAGACUCCUACGGGAGGCAGCAGUGGGGAAUAUUGCACAAUGGGCGAAAGCCUGAUGCAGCGACGCCGCGUGAGGGAUGACGGCCUUCGGGUUGUAAACCUCUUUCAGCAGGGAAGAAGCGAAAGUGACGGUACCUGCAGAAGAAGCGCCGGCUAACUACGUGCCAGCAGCCGCGGUAAUACGUAGGGCGCAAGCGUUGUCCGGAAUUAUUGGGCGUAAAGAGCUCGUAGGCGGCUUGUCACGUCGGUUGUGAAAGCCCGGGGCUUAACCCCGGGUCUGCAGUCGAUACGGGCAGGCUAGAGUUCGGUAGGGGAGAUCGGAAUUCCUGGUGUAGCGGUGAAAUGCGCAGAUAUCAGGAGGAACACCGGUGGCGAAGGCGGAUCUCUGGGCCGAUACUGACGCUGAGGAGCGAAAGCGUGGGGGAGCGAACAGGA